This is a long non-coding RNA of Astyanax mexicanus (Mexican tetra), 926 nucleotides long. RefSeq lists it as uncharacterized. The transcript has 3 exons. Lineage: Eukaryota; Metazoa; Chordata; Actinopteri; Characiformes; Acestrorhamphidae. The record is from RefSeq and is a predicted model, not a curated record.
GCUAGUUAGUUCAUCUUCGUUUGACUUAGUUCGAUUAGCUAACUAGUUUUUUUUUUUUCCUAUAGAUUAAAUUUAGCCUGUAAAAAAUAUUCUGAAUCACACAGACUGGAAUACAGGCCAACGUUUUUUAUUACCUGGAUGUACUUUAGCAUAGUGAAAAGCUUAACUUAGCCUUUGGACUGAUUUAACGUUACACACUAAAUAACUAGCUAACUAACUUAUUUAACCUAGCCAGCUAAGGUUAACGAUACUAGUAUAAAAGGUUUUUACCAGCUUACCCAAGUUAUAUAGACUGUAUUCUACAGAUCAACCUAGGUAGCUACAGGUUAUAGGGUCUUUUUUUGGGUAAUCUUAGUUUAUGUUUAUGCUUCAAGUCCACCUCAACUCCAGUUUGUUUUUACAACUUUGGAGCUGGAUUGCUGUAGUGCCAGUUGGUCAGGUUACAGUGGCUCCUGGCCCAGACUCUCAUAGAGAUCAUGCUGUAGCAGGUGUUGCUGCUCCGUGCACUUCUCCCUCGCGGCCUGCUGAUGGAGAACAUCUGGAGAGCCUCUGUUCUACCCCUUCUUUCCUGUCCCCGAUAUGACCAGGCGAUGUAGCGAGCAGUGAGAUACAUGUCGACACAUGGUUACCAGGUCCCUUCACAGAGUACAGAGUGCCUCCACAUCCAGACCUGCCCUUACUGCUCCACUGACACUGAGGCUGCAUGAAGAAUUGAUGUGUAUGAGAAGGGCUCACCCUAAAAGAUCACAUUCCAUCUCUUUUCAAGCAGAUGACCAUGCCUUCCGUCUGCACUCCCUCCUCUCCGUUCCUCUUCUCUGUUUUUUUUCCCCGUACUUACAGACAGAGGGAGCAGCUCAACUUGACAUUGACUGCUGUGUUGUUGUAAUGCCUCUCAAAUCUUAUUAAAGACCACAACUGCAAAGGAC